UGGUAGCGGUUGUUAGCGAUU
RNAcentral lists this non-coding RNA (21 nucleotides) under Arabidopsis thaliana (thale cress). The record is from RNAcentral. Lineage: Eukaryota; Viridiplantae; Streptophyta; Magnoliopsida; Brassicales; Brassicaceae.